This 656-nucleotide ribosomal RNA is filed under the name uncultured euryarchaeote. RNAcentral describes it as "bacterial SSU rRNA". It matches the Rfam family "Archaeal small subunit ribosomal RNA", at positions 222 to 879 of the family's 1478-position model. The record is from RNAcentral. Lineage: Archaea; Methanobacteriati; Methanobacteriota.
CGAUUAGGUAGUUGCUGGGGUAACGUCCCAACAAGCCUAUAAUCGGUACGGGUUGUGAGAGCAAGAGCCCGGAGAUGGAUUCUGAGACACGAAUCCAGGUCCUACGGGGCGCAGCAGGCGCGAAAACUUUACACUGCGCGAAAGCGCGAUAAGGGGACCUCGAGUGCGUGCGCAAUGCGUACGCUUUUCAGAUGCCUAAAAAGCAUCUGGAAUAAGGGCCGGGCAAGACCGGUGCCAGCCGCCGCGGUAACACCGGCGGCUCAAGUGGUGGCCGCUAUUAUUGGGCUUAAAGGGUCCGUAGCCGGACCAGUUAGUCCCUUGGGAAAUCUUACGGCUUAACCGUAAGGCUGCCAAUGGAUACUGCUGGUCUUGGGACCGGGAGAGGCAAGAGGUACCUCAGGGGUAGGAGUGAAAUCCUGUAAUCCUUGAGGGACCGCCAGUGGCGAAGGCGUCUUGCUAGAACGGGUCCGACGGUGAGGGACGAAAGCUAGGGGCACGAACCGGAUUAGAUACCCGGGUAGUCCUAGCCAUAAACGAUGCGAGCUAGGUGUCACGUGGAUUGCGAAUCCAUGUGGUGCCGAAGGGAAACCGUGAAGCUCGCCGCCUGGGAAGUACGGCCGCAAGGCUGAAACUUAAAGGAAUUGGCGGGGGAGCAC